Molecule: long non-coding RNA, 269 nt
Filed under: Anas platyrhynchos platyrhynchos (common mallard)
Lineage: Eukaryota; Metazoa; Chordata; Aves; Anseriformes; Anatidae
Description: lncRNA (ENSAPLG00000020744.1)
Source: RNAcentral
GAAGAAUGAGGAAGGAGCAAUAAAAAUAACACAAAGCUAAAACCCAAAAUAGUUCAUCCUUUGAGUGUGGGUAUUCCUGGCCUGAGAAUCUCAAGAAAUCAGCUCCUUCUGGCUUCCUGGUGGGUGCACCCAAGGGUCCAUAAACCUCUGCUCUAAAUCACUGUGUUCAUGGUUAUCCUGAUGUAAUUAAUGUGAAAUUCAGCUCCAGAUAUCCCAAAUCUCUAUGUGACAUAAAUAAUAAUAAUAAUAAUAAUCACUGCUUAGAAUCA